AUUGAACGCUGGCGGCAGGCCUAACACAUGCAAGUCGAUCGAGCGCCGGACGUGUGAGUAAUGUAUGGGGACUGCCCGAUAGAGGGGGGUAACUACUGGAUACGGUAGCUACUACCGCAUACUAUCGGAUAACCCAUAUGGGAUGAGCUAGUAGGUGAGGUAAUGGCUCACCUAGGCGACGAUCCCUAGCUGGUCUGAGAGGAUGAUCGGCAACACUGGGACUGAGACACGGCCCAGACUCCUACGGAGGCAGCAGUGGGGAAUAUUGCACAAUGGGCGCAAGCCUGAUGCAGCCAUGCCGCGUGUAGGAAGAAGGCCCUAGGGUUGUAAAGUACUUUCAGUCGGGAGGCGUUACCGACAGAAGAAGCACCGGCUAACUCCGUGCCAGCCGCCGCGGUAAUUC
RNAcentral lists this ribosomal RNA (403 nucleotides) under uncultured bacterium. RNAcentral describes it as "partial 16S ribosomal RNA". It matches the Rfam family "Bacterial small subunit ribosomal RNA", at positions 30 to 526 of the family's 1533-position model. The record is from RNAcentral.